Molecule: ribosomal RNA, 511 nt
Filed under: uncultured bacterium
Lineage: Bacteria
Description: bacterial SSU rRNA
Rfam family: Bacterial small subunit ribosomal RNA
Source: RNAcentral
GAUUCUGGCUCAGGAUGAACGCUAGCUACAGGCUAACACAUGCAAGUCGAGGGGCAGCAGGACGAUAGCUUGCUAUGUUGCUGGCGACCGGCGCACGGGUGAGUAACGCGUAUCCAACCUUCCCCUUAGUAGGGCAUAGCCCGGUGAAAAUCGGAUUAAUACCCUAUGUUGUGUCAUGAGGACAUCUGAAUAACACUAAAGAUUUAUCGCUAAGGGAUGGGGAUGCGUCCGAUUAGGUAGUCGGCGGGUAACGGCCCACCGAGCCCUCGAUCGGUAGGGGUCUGAGAGGAAGGUCCCCCACACUGGUACUGAGACACGGACCAGACUCCUACGGGAGGCAGCAGUGAGGAAUAUUGGUCAAUGGGCGUAAGCCUGAACCAGCCAAGUAGCCGUGCAGGAUGACGGCCCUAUGGGUUGUAAACUGCUUUUAUACGGGGAUAAAGUGAGGGACGUGUCCCUUAUUGUAGGUACCGUAUGAAUAAGGACCGGCUAAUUCCGUGCCAGCAGCCGC